Long non-coding RNA from Mercenaria mercenaria, 1151 nucleotides. RefSeq lists it as uncharacterized. The record is from RefSeq and is a predicted model, not a curated record. The transcript has 6 exons. NCBI's taxonomy places the organism in Eukaryota, Metazoa, Mollusca, Bivalvia, Venerida, Veneridae.
CGCCAUUUGUACUGGAGGUGCGAUUAAUUCGUCGUCUGAGCACUUAAAAAACUCAAAAGCAUGGCUUUUUAGGGCCGAAGGAACAGGAGAGACCCAAUAAUUUGACCAGUUACGUAAUGAAGGAAUGGUAGAAGGGCCUGUUAGGAGAGGGAAAUCAGUUCAUAAAAACAGUUAGAAUUGUGGAAAACUUGCAUCAUAAUAAAACCAGAGAAUUUUUUGAAGAGGGGAAUGGGGCUGAAUUUCAGCCCCAAUAAGGGAAGAGUGAUGGAUACAUUCUCAAGUCAUUGGCCAACCUUUGCUGUACAUCAGACUAAGACUGCAACUUACCAUGCGAGGUAACAACAAAAGCAGAAUGUCUACUGACUAUGAACUUCAGUAAUCAGAGAUGCAGGCCUUUGUUCUACAUGAUGUAUGAGGAAAACAUAGUGGAUUUUUGGAUUUCACAGCAAUCAUGGAACAUGUUUGAUAAAUCAUGCUGCAGUGAGAAACCAAGAAAUUUGUGUGUGCAUAGUUAUGUGCCAUGGAGUGUCAUGGAAAAAGGAUAUGGAAAAUAUAGGGAUAAGGAUGUGUGAAGCUGCAGGAAAGCAAGGAGGAAGCUAAAUACCAAGAAUUCCAGAAGAAUAGGGCUGUAGGUCUGUGAUGGAUGUUGCUAUUAGACGUAGGGAGUUGCUCUACAGGUUGAAUUGAUGAUUUUGAAGUAACAGCAAGGAAGAAUGGCUUGUUACAAACCAUGGACUUCAGAAGAUCUUUAUUCUACAUGCUGUAAUUAGGGAACAAUAGUGGAUUUUCUGAUUUCAUGCUAAUAAUAGAAAACAGUUAACAAGUAAAUGGAACAUUUGUAUUUAGAAUCAUAUACUAUUAAAUAAUCAAGCUGCAUUUAAAGUUAUGCAAACAAUAAGUUACAAAUUUUACAGUUGAAGGGAGGUAACUCAAUUAAGAAAGACCACUAAAAUGCCAUUGGUUAUUUGUAUUUUGAAGCCCACUUUGCAGAAAAGCAAAGACAUAGUCGUCCAAAUGUCUGUUUGGUGUAUGUGUGUUAGUGCAUACCUCUGUCCGGAUUUAAAAAAUCCGGACAAUAACUUUGACAUGCAUUUAUAUUUGGCAUGAAUAACAAUUAGCAUUGUUCAGGCAUCCCAAGAAGGGCCUUUAAA